GCCAGGCACAGUGGUGCAUGCCUGUAAUCCCAGCUACUCAGGAGACUGAGGCAGGAGGAUUGCAGGUUCGAGGCUAGCUUCGGGCAACUUAAUGAGAUCCUUUCUCAA
This 108-nucleotide small RNA is filed under the name Marmota monax (woodchuck). The record is from RNAcentral. Lineage: Eukaryota; Metazoa; Chordata; Mammalia; Rodentia; Sciuridae.